RNAcentral lists this ribosomal RNA (1179 nucleotides) under Staphylococcus pseudintermedius. RNAcentral describes it as "partial 23S ribosomal RNA". It matches the Rfam family "Bacterial large subunit ribosomal RNA", at positions 1677 to 2857 of the family's 2925-position model. Lineage: Bacteria; Bacillati; Bacillota; Bacilli; Caryophanales; Staphylococcaceae. The record is from RNAcentral.
AAUUCUAAGGUGAGCGAGCGAACUCUCGUUAAGGAACUCGGCAAAAUGACCCCGUAACUUCGGGAGAAGGGGUGCUCUUUGAGGUUCACGCUUCGAAGAGCCGCAGUGAAUAGGCCCAAGCGACUGUUUAUCAAAAACACAGGUCUCUGCUAAACCGUAAGGUGACGUAUAGGGGCUGACGCCUGCCCGGUGCUGGAAGGUUAAGAGGAGUGGUUAGCGCAAGCGAAGCUACGAAUCGAAGCCCCAGUAAACGGCGGCCGUAACUAUAACGGUCCUAAGGUAGCGAAAUUCCUUGUCGGGUAAGUUCCGACCCGCACGAAAGGCGUAACGAUUUGGGCACUGUCUCAACGAGAGACUCGGUGAAAUCAUAGUACCGGUGAAGAUGCCGGUUACCCGCGACAGGACGGAAAGACCCCGUGGAGCUUUACUGUAGCCUGAUAUUGAAAUUCGGUACAGUUUGUACAGGAUAGGUAGGAGCCUUAGAAGCGUGAGCGCUAGCUUACGUGGAGGCAUUGGUGGGAUACUACCCUAAUUGUAUUGGAUUUCUAACCCGCAGCACUUAUCGUGCUGGGAGACAGUGUCAGGCGGGCAGUUUGACUGGGGCGGUCGCCUCCUAAAGAGUAACGGAGGCGCUCAAAGGUUCCCUCAGAAUGGUUGGAAAUCAUUCAUAGAGUGUAAAGGCAUAAGGGAGCUUGACUGCGAGACCUACAAGUCGAGCAGGGUCGAAAGACGGACUUAGUGAUCCGGUGGUUCCGCAUGGAAGGGCCAUCGCUCAACGGAUAAAAGCUACCCCGGGGAUAACAGGCUUAUCUCCCCCAAGAGUUCACAUCGACGGGGAGGUUUGGCACCUCGAUGUCGGCUCAUCGCAUCCUGGGGCUGUAGUCGGUCCCAAGGGUUGGGCUGUUCGCCCAUUAAAGCGGUACGCGAGCUGGGUUCAGAACGUCGUGAGACAGUUCGGUCCCUAUCCGUCGUGGGCGUAGGAAAUUUGAGAGGAGCUGUCCUUAGUACGAGAGGACCGGGAUGGACAUACCUCUGGUGUACCAGUUGUCGUGCCAACGGCAUAGCUGGGUAGCUAUGUAUGGACGGGAUAAGUGCUGAAAGCAUCUAAGCAUGAAGCCCCCCUCGAGAUGAGAUUUCCCAACUUCGGUUAUAAGAUCCCUCAAAGAUGAUGAGGUGAAU